Molecule: long non-coding RNA, 678 nt
Organism: Drosophila miranda
Lineage: Eukaryota; Metazoa; Arthropoda; Insecta; Diptera; Drosophilidae
Exons: 3
Source: RefSeq, a predicted model, not a curated record
GAAAGAACGUAUAAGUAGAGGUGGAGAGGUAUCGAUGGCACUAUCGGCACUAUUGAUGGUUUGACACUAUCGAUAGCGUUCGAUAUUUUUUAGAAAGGCAAUGGAAAACAAAAAUACCAUUCGAAGUGAUGCCACAACAAUAAAACGCCACUGCUUUGGAUAAAAGUCAACGAAAAUUAAUUCGAUUUAGUCAAAAUCCUUAUGUUCAAAUAUUUAUGCGUGCCAGCGACGUCUGUAGAAUCCGAACGCAUGUUCAGCAAGGCUGGAUAAAUCGUCUCUGAUAGAAGGACUCGAAUUAGGGGAAAAAAUAUUAAUAUGUGGCUUUUAGACUAUCGAUUCAACAACAAUAUAGUGUGUCGUAUGAUGCCAAACCCGAAUUUAGCCCACUCAAGCCUUAUUUUUAAAUAGUUCAACUACUUGAUCUUCUUGUAGAUUCAUGACAUUUUUCCUCUGAACCUCAUGAAAACCACGAUAUCUUUCACCUGAACUGCCCUAAAAUUUUUAAAUGUUUAUUAUUUUCUGUUAAUAGCCUUGGCUAAAACGAAUAUCUACCCAAUUCUAAUACGCAAUGUAAACACACGAAGAUCUAACAUACAUAUGUAUGUAUGGAUUUUCCCACAUGCACCAUGUAUCCCAUCAUGAUCCCAUGUAUCCCCAAAUUAAAUAUAUUCAUUUAGA